CCGGCGUGGGGGAUGAAGGGCUUCGGCUUGUAAACCCCUGUCACUUGGGAUCAAAAGUUUCAACCUAAUACGUUGAGGCCUGAUAGUACCAGGAGAGGAAGGCACGGCUAACUCUGUGCCAGCAGCCGCGGUAAUACAGAGGUGCCAAGCGUUGUUCGGAUUUACUGGGCGUAAAGGGUGCGUAGGCGGCCAGACAAGUCGGAUGUGAAAUCCCGGAGCCUAACUCCGGAAUGGCAUCCGAAACUGUCUGGCUCGAGGUCUGGAGAGGUGACUGGAAUGCUCGGUGUAGCAGUGAAAUGCGUAGAUAUCGAGUAGAACACCAGAGGCGAAAGCGGGUCACUGGACAGAUUCUGACGCUGAGGCACGAAAGCCAGGGGAGCAAACGGGAUUAGAUACCCCGGUAGUCCUGGCUGUAAACGGUGCGCAUUUGAGGUGGGAGGAUUCGACCCCUUCUGUCUCGUAGCUAACGCGUUAAAUGCGCCGCCUGGGGAGUACGGUCGCAAGAUUA
This 508-nucleotide ribosomal RNA is filed under the name uncultured Verrucomicrobiota bacterium. RNAcentral's name for it is "bacterial SSU rRNA". It matches the Rfam family "Bacterial small subunit ribosomal RNA", at positions 396 to 896 of the family's 1533-position model. Lineage: Bacteria; Pseudomonadati; Verrucomicrobiota. The record is from RNAcentral.